Molecule: long non-coding RNA, 801 nt
Organism: Fukomys damarensis (Damara mole-rat)
Lineage: Eukaryota; Metazoa; Chordata; Mammalia; Rodentia; Bathyergidae
Exons: 3
Source: RefSeq, a predicted model, not a curated record
CUUCGCCACAAAGUGCGGGCCUCUGGACGCAUGCGCGCGGCGAGCCUCCGGAAAGGGCGGGGAAGGUGAGCGAGAACAGUAAAAAUGCCAAGCAGCCUGCUGUGGUACCCGCCCUCCGUCUCCACCUGUCUGCCUUCACAGUGGUGAUGACUGUCUCCAGAAUGCAUAUGUACUUUGGAGGCCUCAAUGGACUGGUGUCUGACUCAUUCCUGAGAACUCUGAACAGAGAGAACCUAACCGAGGCAGCUUGAGAAGGAGGUAGGAGGAAGAGAAUGAUGGCUACAAGGAGAUUAGCUGCAUGCAUGGAAUUUGUCAGCACAAAGGAUGAGUAAGUGUGCAUGUGUGGGCCCUGAGUUAGCCAGCAUGAGAUCACCUUAGAUCCUGUACAAGAGGCCUAGAAACAAGGGCAAAUAGACUUCAGCACAGAGAACCUAAAGGCAAUGCCAAAUGCACAGAAGCUAAAGAACUACAUUCUCCUUGCCAAAGGACCCGCAGGUGAGUGGUUCCCUGGUGAUGGGAUUGACGGGGGUAGCUAUAUGAAUGCCCACAAGAAUCAGUUUUAAAGAGAGAGUUGAUCUUCUACAGCAGAAAUAAUAACAUGUAUGACUCCUGCUCCCUUUGUUGCACUGUGUAACCAUGGUAGUAUAGAGGAUGAAAGACGACUUGGAGAAGAAACUUAGUUAAAUCACAGAGAGGCCCAGAGUAUCUAUCUCAAUGGAGAGCACCCAGCAUUACAGAGACUCCCAGGAGUAGCAGCAAAGCCUAGAACUCUCUGGCUUUUGUUUAGCAUAUCAACGUAAG